UAUAGAUUUUUUAACACAACAUUCUAUUGACAUACAGGGUAAAUGAAGAAUCAACAUAGACACAGGAUGUGUCUACAAAAGGUGCACAGGUGGAGAUAUAAAGAUGACAAGGCGUGCACAUGCUUGAGCCAGCAACAGCCCAUCACACUUCGAUAAUGAUCCUUCCGCAGGUUCACCUACGGAAA
This 185-nucleotide unclassified non-coding RNA is filed under the name uncultured fungus. RNAcentral describes it as "sequence contains ITS1". The record is from RNAcentral. Lineage: Eukaryota; Fungi.